UACGUAGGGUGCUAGCGUUGUUCGGAAUCAUUGGGCGUAAAGCGCGUGUAGGUUGUUAGUUAAGUCUAUUGUGAAAUCCCCUGGGCUCAACCCAGGAAGUGCAGUGGAAACUAGCUAGCUAGAAGAUGGUAGAGGAAGGUGGAAUUCCAAGUGUAGAGGUGAAAUUCGUAGAUAUUUGGAGGAAUACCUGAGGCGAAGGCGGCCUUCUGGACCAUUCUUGACACUGAGACGCGAAAGCGUGGGUAGCAAACAGG
RNAcentral lists this ribosomal RNA (254 nucleotides) under uncultured bacterium. RNAcentral describes it as "partial 16S ribosomal RNA". It matches the Rfam family "Bacterial small subunit ribosomal RNA", at positions 524 to 776 of the family's 1533-position model. The record is from RNAcentral.